UACGGGGGGGGCAAGCGUUGUUCGGAAUUACUGGGCGUAAAGGGCUCGUAGGCGGCCAACUAAGUCGGAUGUGAAAUCCCCAGGCUCAACCUGGGAACUGCAUCCGAUACUGGAUGGCUUGAAUCCGGGAGAGGGAUGCAGAAUUCCAGGUGUAGCGGUGAAAUGCGUAGAUAUAGGAAGGAACACCAGUGGCGAAGGCGACCACCUGGACUGAUACUGACACUGAGGUGCGAAAGCGUGGGGAGCAAACAGG
Molecule: ribosomal RNA, 253 nt
Filed under: uncultured bacterium
Lineage: Bacteria
Description: partial 16S ribosomal RNA
Rfam family: Bacterial small subunit ribosomal RNA
Source: RNAcentral